GAUGAACGCUGGCGGCGUGCCUAAUACAUGCAAGUCCAGCGAACAGACGAGGAGCUUGCUCCUCUGACGUUAGCGGCGGACGGGUGAGUAACACGUGGAUAACCUACCUAUAAGACUGGGAUAACUUCGGGAAACCGGAGCUAAUACCGGAUAACAUGUUGAACCGCAUGGUUCAACAGUGAAAGACGGUUUUGCUGUCACUUAUAGAUGGAUCCGCGUCGCAUUAGCUAGUUGGUAAGGUAACGGCUUACCAAGGCAACGAUGCGUAGCCGACCUGAGAGGGUGAUCGGCCACACUGGAACUGAGACACGGUCCAGACUCCUACGGGAGGCAGCAGUAGGGAAUCUUCCGCAAUGGGCGAAAGCCUGACGGAGCAACGCCGCGUGAGUGAAGAAGGUCUUCGGAUCGUAAAACUCUGUUAUUAGGGAAGAACAAAUGUGUAAGUAACUAUGCACGUCUUGACGGUACCUAAUCAGAAAGCCACGGCUAACUACGUG
This 497-nucleotide ribosomal RNA is filed under the name uncultured bacterium. RNAcentral's name for it is "partial 16S ribosomal RNA". It matches the Rfam family "Bacterial small subunit ribosomal RNA", at positions 28 to 507 of the family's 1533-position model. The record is from RNAcentral.